UCAAACUUGGUCAUUUAGAGGAAGUAAAAGUCGUAACAAGGUAUCCGUAGGUGAACCUGCGGAUGGAUCAUUCAUGGUCGUCUUGGUCUGCUGGGUGCUUAUGCAUGCAGUGCGACACAAGCAUGUCCUGUGCAAUGUGAAUGGAGGAGUGUGUGUUCAGGUAUGGAUGCACACGCCUGUUUUUUCUACAAAUGCAUUUCUCUACAAUUUCUGACAUUUGCAAAACAACUUCAAAACUGCCAGCAAUGGAUCCCUCGGUUCUCGCAUCGAUGAAGAACGCAGC
Molecule: unclassified non-coding RNA, 283 nt
Filed under: uncultured fungus
Lineage: Eukaryota; Fungi
Description: partial contains small subunit ribosomal RNA, internal transcribed spacer 1, and 5.8S ribosomal RNA
Rfam family: Eukaryotic small subunit ribosomal RNA (bases 1-73)
Source: RNAcentral